This 292-nucleotide ribosomal RNA is filed under the name uncultured bacterium. Its description in RNAcentral is "partial 16S ribosomal RNA". It matches the Rfam family "Bacterial small subunit ribosomal RNA", at positions 505 to 796 of the family's 1533-position model. The record is from RNAcentral.
GUGUCAGCAGCCGCGGUAAUACGUAGGUGGCAAGCGUUGUCCGGAUUUACUGGGCGUAAAGAGCGCGCAGGCGGCCGAGUCAGUCGAAUGUGAAAGCCCCCGGCUCAACUGGGGAGGGUCAUUCGAUACUGCUCGGCUUGAAGAUGGGAGAGGGAAGCGGAAUUUCAGGUGUAGUGGUGAAAUGCGUAGAUAUCUGAAGGAACACCAGUGGCGAAGGCGGCUUUCUGGCCCAUUCUUGACGCUGAGGCGCGAAAGCUAGGGGAGCAAACGGGAUUAGAAACCCCUGUAGUCC